UGGGGAAUUUUGGACAAUGGGGGAAACCCUGAUCCAGCCAUUCCGCGUGUGCGAUGAAGGCCUUCGGGUUGUAAAGCACUUUUGGCAGGAAAGAAAUCGCAUCAAUUAAUACUUGGUGUGGAUGACGGUACCUGCAGAAUAAGCACCGGCUAACUACGUGCCAGCAGCCGCGGUAAUACGUAGGGUGCAAGCGUUAAUCGGAAUUACUGGGCGUAAAGCGUGCGCAGGCGGUUCGGAAAGAGAGGUGUGAAAUCCCAGGGCUCAACCUUGGAACUGCACUUUUAACUACCGAGCUAGAGUAUGUCAGAGGGGGGUGGAAUUCCGCGUGUAGCAGUGAAAUGCGUAGAUAUGCGGAGGAACACCGAUGGCGAAGGCAGCCCCCUGGGAUAAUACUGACGCU
This 400-nucleotide ribosomal RNA is filed under the name uncultured bacterium. RNAcentral describes it as "bacterial SSU rRNA". It matches the Rfam family "Bacterial small subunit ribosomal RNA", at positions 355 to 747 of the family's 1533-position model. The record is from RNAcentral.